AACACAUAGGGUCCAGCCCAAUGAGGACGAAACUUCCCACGUGGAUCUAUGAUUGGCUGUCUAAUUUCCUUCAGGACCAAACAACCUUCUUCCAGUUUCCGGUCUUUGACCUUCUUAUUAAAAUGUCGUGCCAUUCUUCUUUGAUAAACUUGAGUUUGGUGGAUUGCUCGCAGUCGCUUUUCAUCCAUACCCAAGAGUUGCAAAUGAUAAUUCUCAGCCCAAUCUGCUUCGCUGAUCUGGCUUUCCCGGAUAAUUCUCGCCGACUGAACUUCCAGCUCAAUAGGCAACACUACUUCCAUACCAUAUACUAAGGAAUACGGGGUUGCCCCAGUAGGCGUUCUGAUUGAAG
Molecule: long non-coding RNA, 349 nt
Filed under: Jatropha curcas
Lineage: Eukaryota; Viridiplantae; Streptophyta; Magnoliopsida; Malpighiales; Euphorbiaceae
Description: long non-coding RNA (JCUR_LNC001681)
Source: RNAcentral